This 1181-nucleotide long non-coding RNA is filed under the name Manihot esculenta (cassava). RNAcentral describes it as "long non-coding RNA (MESC_LNC006428)". Lineage: Eukaryota; Viridiplantae; Streptophyta; Magnoliopsida; Malpighiales; Euphorbiaceae. The record is from RNAcentral.
UCGGUUGUUUCCAAUUAGAUAGUCACCUCUCAUCUGGCAUAGAUCAUAUAUGCAUUUACGUUUUGUUUGUAGGAAAAUGACUUGCAUGUUGAUGCCAAAGGCAAUUCAGGUCUUUGUCCGCUUUGCUCAUGAUCUACGUAUUCGAAGGCUAUACAAAAUUGAGAUGCCGUGAGCUCUGCCUGUCACUCCUGACAACUGUGAAUUCUUCAUCUCAAGUCUAUAAUUUCUUGUGCUUUGGUCCGUUUUGGCUGCUUUUUAUGGUGUGCUUCAGAACUGCAGCUAGGAGUUUGGCGAAAAUGACCUCCCUCUCGGGUAGGGUUUAGAUAUUUGUGGUUUGGUUUUCUUAAUUGGAUUUUUUUCUUUCUGUUUGAUUUAUCUUGUUGCAAUUGAACCUAAUUUCUGCAGGCUUGAUGUAACCUCUUUUGAAUUAUUUGCCCAGAUGAGUCCAGUAAUGCAAAUUAAAUUUCUUUGCGGGUUCAAAGGGUACGCAUUUACGUUUCAAAAGCCAUAACCAUUUUCCAUCAAACACUUGUUUUGCCUUUUCUGGUUUGAAACUAGACACUUGUCGUCUCGUCGGCAUUACCAUUACUAAGUUUGUCGUUUCUGCAAUUGUUGGACUCUUAUGGAACUCUUUGCUCUUGCAUUCUUAAAAUCUUACAAGCACUGUUGAGGCAAAUUUAACAAGAAUGACCGUAGACAUUGAAAUGAAGGACAUUUUGCAUUUAUCUUAUAAUCUUAUUGUUAACAAAAGACUCGAACAAGUAAAAAAAGAAACAAAAGGAACACAUUACACAAUAGACAACGAAGACCCCAUCUCUUAGGCCGACAAUUUUAUUGACAAAUUACACCAAAUGCUGAGCCUAUUGCUAGCCUCUACUUCUCUCUACUGCUGGACCACCUGCUGCAUCUGCUGCUUGUUAUGCUGUAUUGUCGGAAGAUUCACAAGAGAGCACGAUCGUGCCAUCUCUCCUCCUAGAGGGAUCACAGGGAGACUAUCACAGUUGCAUAUUUCAAUCAUGAAUCCAUCUGGAUCAUGAAAGAAAAGUUGAUCCACAUGGAUUCCACCUUCCUCCACCAUGCUUCGCACGUACUUGAUUCCCAUGUCCUUCAGCUUCUUCUCCACUGCCCCCAUGCUCUCACACUGCAGCAUACAAUAUUUAAUAAGUUUGACAGCUAAUGAU